RNAcentral lists this ribosomal RNA (409 nucleotides) under uncultured Nitrososphaerota archaeon. RNAcentral's name for it is "bacterial SSU rRNA". It matches the Rfam family "Archaeal small subunit ribosomal RNA", at positions 452 to 861 of the family's 1478-position model. The record is from RNAcentral. Lineage: Archaea; Thermoproteati; Nitrososphaerota.
CUGGUGUCAGCCGCCGCGGUAAUACCAGCACCCCGAGUGGUCGGGACGAUUAUUGGGCCUAAAGCAUCCGUAGCCGGUCCUGCAAGUCUUCCGUUAAAUCCAGCUGCUCAACAGAUGGGCUGCGGAGGAUACUACAGGGCUAGGAGGCGGGAGAGGCAAGCGGUACUUUAUGGGUAGGGGUAAAAUCCGUUGAUCCAUAGAAGACCACCAGUGGCGAAGGCGGCUUGCCAGAACGCGCUCGACGGUGAGGGAUGAAAGCUGGGGGAGCAAACCGGAUUAGAUACCCGGGUAGUCCCAGCUGUAAACGAUGCAGACUCGGUGAUGGGUUGGCUUCGUGCCNACCCAGCGCCGCAGGGAACCCGUUCAGUCUGCCGCCGGGGGAGUACGGCCGGAAGACUGAAAAUUAAAU